Molecule: ribosomal RNA, 253 nt
Filed under: uncultured bacterium
Lineage: Bacteria
Description: partial 16S ribosomal RNA
Rfam family: Bacterial small subunit ribosomal RNA
Source: RNAcentral
UACAGAGGUCCCAAGCGUUGUUCGGAUUCACUGGGCGUAAAGGGUGCGUAGGUGGCCAGGUAAGUUCGGUGUGAAAGCUCGGAGCUUAACUCCGAAAUGGCAUUGAAUACUAUCUGGCUAGAGGGUCGGAGGGGAGACUGGAAUUCUCGGUGUAGCAGUGAAAUGCGUAGAUAUCGAGAGGAACACCAGUGGCGAAGGCGAGUCUCUGGACGACUCCUGACACUGAGGCACGAAAGCCAGGGGAUCAAACAGG